This 408-nucleotide unclassified non-coding RNA is filed under the name Hevea brasiliensis (rubber tree). The record is from RNAcentral. Lineage: Eukaryota; Viridiplantae; Streptophyta; Magnoliopsida; Malpighiales; Euphorbiaceae.
UGGGAUUUAAAGUAGAUACCUCGAACCCCUUGUACAAGCGCUUUCGCUUAAAAGUACUGGGUCAUUCCUAUAAACUGGGGGAGAAGAUAGACAGCUAUAUAUUUGGAGCUGAUCCUGGUUUACCUCAACAAUCGGAUUCCUCCGAAGUAUCCAUCAAGAAUGAUAAAAAAAGAAAUGCUUAUCGCUGCAAGAAAUGCAGGAGGGUCAUUGCUUUGCAAGCGAAUGUUGUCAGCCAUGCUCCUGGUGAAGGUGAGACAUGCUUUGAUUGGCAAAAGAGGAGAAGCCAUAGUCCUUUUAACAGGUUCGAUGAGUCUGAAUGUUCCUCUAUAUUUGUUGAACCUCUGCGGUGGAUGACAGCAGUUGAGGAGGGUGCAUUGGAAGGAAAGCUCUCAUGUGCACACUGUGAAG